This 83-nucleotide ribosomal RNA is filed under the name Viola odorata. RNAcentral describes it as "partial 5.8S ribosomal RNA". It matches the Rfam family "5.8S ribosomal RNA", at positions 73 to 153 of the family's 154-position model. Rfam says of the family: 5.8S ribosomal RNA (5.8S rRNA) is a component of the large subunit of the eukaryotic ribosome. It is transcribed by RNA polymerase I as part of the 45S precursor that also contains 18S and 28S rRNA. Functionally, it is thought that 5.8S rRNA may be involved in ribosome translocation. Lineage: Eukaryota; Viridiplantae; Streptophyta; Magnoliopsida; Malpighiales; Violaceae. RNAcentral also lists the same sequence under 9 other names. The record is from RNAcentral.
UGCAGAAUCCCGUGAAUCAUCGAGUCUUUGAACGCAAGUUGCGCCCGAAGCCUUUUGGCCGAGGGCACGUCUGCCUGGGUGUC